GGAGUGGUUGAUCGGGGGUCCAGUGGGUUCGCCUCACGGUCGGGCCCCUUCGGGGGUCUGCGCGGGUUUGAAUCCUGCUGUCUCCGC
This 87-nucleotide transfer RNA is filed under the name Streptomyces sp. 1-11. Its description in RNAcentral is "tRNA-Arg". The record is from RNAcentral. Lineage: Bacteria; Bacillati; Actinomycetota; Actinomycetes; Kitasatosporales; Streptomycetaceae.